ACAGCAGCCGCCGCGGUAAAACGUAGGGUGCGAGCGUUAAUCGGAAUUACUGGGCGUAAAGCGUGCGCAGGCGGUUCGGAAAGAGAGAUGUGAAAUCCCAGGGCUUAACCUUGGAACUGCAUUUUUAACUACCGGACUAGAGUGUGUCAGAGGGAGGUGGAAUUCCGCGUGUAGCAGUGAAAUGCGUAGAGAUGCGGAGGAACACCGAUGGCGAAGGCAGCCUCCUGGGAUAACACUGACGCUCAUGCACGAAAGCGUGGGGAGCAAACAGGAUUAGAUACCCCCGUAGUCCCUGUCUCUUAUAC
RNAcentral lists this ribosomal RNA (305 nucleotides) under uncultured bacterium. Its description in RNAcentral is "partial 16S ribosomal RNA". It matches the Rfam family "Bacterial small subunit ribosomal RNA", at positions 508 to 807 of the family's 1533-position model. The record is from RNAcentral.